GGCGGCAGGCCUAACACAUGCAAGUCGAGCGCACUCUUCGGAGUGAGCGGCGGACGGGUUAGUAACGCGUGGGAAUAUACCCUUCACUAUGGAAUAGCCUCGGGAAACUGAGAGUAAUACCAUAUACGCCCUUCGGGGAAGAUUAUCGGUGAAGGAUUAGCCCGCGUAAGAUUAGAUAGUUGGUGGGGUAAUGGCCUACCAAGUCUACGAUCUUUAGCUGGUUUGAGAGGAUGAUCAGCAACACUGGGACUGAGACACGGCCCAGACUCCUACGGGAGGCAGCAGUGGGGAAUCUUAGACAAUGGGCGCAAGCCUGAUCUAGCCAUGCCGCGUGAGUGACGAAGGCCUUAGGGUCGUAAAGCUCUUUCGC
RNAcentral lists this ribosomal RNA (370 nucleotides) under uncultured Alphaproteobacteria bacterium. RNAcentral describes it as "bacterial SSU rRNA". It matches the Rfam family "Bacterial small subunit ribosomal RNA", at positions 38 to 439 of the family's 1533-position model. The record is from RNAcentral. Lineage: Bacteria; Pseudomonadati; Pseudomonadota; Alphaproteobacteria.